AUUUGGUGUUGAGGGCAUUUGAUGCGUAAUUUUUUGAAUCUCUCCUAAUAAUCAUAGAGCGACUCUCCUAGAUGUUAUUUGAUACCACAUACCUCCUUCCUCAGACU
Coffea arabica (coffee) is the source of this 107-nucleotide small nucleolar RNA. Lineage: Eukaryota; Viridiplantae; Streptophyta; Magnoliopsida; Gentianales; Rubiaceae. The record is from RefSeq and is a predicted model, not a curated record.